Molecule: long non-coding RNA, 1181 nt
Filed under: Marmota monax (woodchuck)
Lineage: Eukaryota; Metazoa; Chordata; Mammalia; Rodentia; Sciuridae
Source: RNAcentral
GCUUUUUAUACUUUCUGUGAUUGUGUGCAUCUAAAUUUCCCUGAGAGGUACUGUUGACCUGACAAAACUGGCUGCCAGUUGGCUGACAAGAUUCAUCUAGAUGGUUACUUCCUGUUCCUGUCUACAGACUUGAAAAAACGGAUUCACUUUCAUUCAAAGGCUUCUCUGCACAUAAUGGCACAAAAUGUUCAGAAGUAGGAUAAUUCCUUAUAAAUCUAUGUCUGGUUACCCUCAGAUAAACAUUUCCAUUAUCUCAUUUUGUGCUCCUGUCUAGUAUGCCACAUUUUUCAUUGUAUGUAGGUGGCCUUAAACCAUAUAGCAAAAGCAUUUCCCCCAAACACUGAAUCUUCUCUUUACUAUGAACCAUUUUCCUCAUUUCCUUGUCGUUGAACAGUUCCUCUCAACAGGCUUAAAAACCUUUUUCUACUUUGAUUUUUUUUUUCUGGUUAUGCUGGUGUCUUACAUCCUUUUAGGAACUCAUACAUGUUUUAUUAGCACAUUUAAGAAUGAAAUUACCUAUUUUUCUUCUGUGUGUUGGGUGAAGAAAUUUUUUUUGCUAUUUUUAGAUAAUACAUAUUUAAUGUUCUUAUAGUCAUUGCCCUGUACAAAGUAGUUAUCACACAGAAGAUGCAAUUUCUUGUGCUCAGUGAUGUUUAUUCUGUUUCAGUCUGCUUUAAAAUUCUUAACUUCCUGGGUUCUUUACCCCAUUAAAUGUUGCUUUUAAACCUUUUGGUUAAUUUUAGUUCCAAGUAUGUGUUUUUAUAAAAGAUGUUGGAUGAGCAUUUGUAAAUGAGAAACCGGAGUUCCAGAUUAUUGAGUAAUAGUUUUAUUCUGUCAACUAAAAUCUGAUUUCUUCCCUCUUCAGGUGUCUGUCCUAAACAUAAUAGAGAGUUUCAGUAGUAAUUCAUCUAUCUUUGACACAGAUAUUUUCCCAUAAUUGCAACUAUAAAAGUGGAUGUUGCCUGGGACAGGCAAGGAACAGGUAGAGUAUAGACUAUUAUGCAUAUACUUAGAGGGUUCUUAACAACACAUACUCAACAGCUCCUAAAAUUCAAAGAGUAUUAAGUAUAAAAGACAGCAUAACAAGUUAGCAAGACUGUCAAACAACUUCUUGUUACCUGAAUAUACUGUGCACUUUUACAUUCCCAUGCACUCACUUACUGUGGAAUGUCUUUGCUCUC